CGCUAUCACUCCUACGGGAGGCAGCAGUGGGGAAUCUUGGACAAUGGGGGCAACCCUGAUCCAGCCAUGCCGCGUGAGUGAUGAAGGCCUUAGGGUCGUAAAGCUCUUUCGCCUGUGAUGAUAAUGACAGUAGCAGGUAAAGAAAACCCCGGCUAACUCCGUGCCAGCAGCCGCGGUAAUACGGAGGGGGUUAGCGUUGUUCGGAAUUACUGGGCGUAAAGCGCGCGUAGGCGGAUUAGUCAGUUAGAGGUGAAAUCCCCAGGGCUCAACCCCUGGAACUGCCUUUAAUACUGCUAGUCUUGAGUUCGAGAGAGGUGAGUGGAAUUCCGAGUGUAGAGGUGAAAUUCGUAGAUAUUCGGAGGAACACCAGGUGGCGAAGGCGGCUCACUGGCUCGAUACUGACGCUGAGGUGCGAAAGUGUGGGGAGCAAACAGGAUUAGAUACCCUGGUAG
This 452-nucleotide ribosomal RNA is filed under the name uncultured bacterium. RNAcentral's name for it is "bacterial SSU rRNA". It matches the Rfam family "Bacterial small subunit ribosomal RNA", at positions 328 to 793 of the family's 1533-position model. The record is from RNAcentral.